Molecule: long non-coding RNA, 372 nt
Filed under: Homo sapiens (human)
Lineage: Eukaryota; Metazoa; Chordata; Mammalia; Primates; Hominidae
Source: RNAcentral
CAAAGAAAGAAAAAUGACUCUGCAGGCCAUUGCUAGUUUUGAAAAUAGAGGGGAAUUGAAUCAUCAGCCAAGGAAUGCAGACAGCCUUUAGAAGCUGAAAAAGGCGAGAAAAUGGGUUUUCCUAAAGUCUCCAGAAAGAUCACAGCCCUGCUGACACAUUUUCCAUAGCUGCCACUUCCCCUUAAGGCAAUGCCUGCCUCAAGUCCGUCUGGUGACCUAAAUGGAGGAGAGGUAACGGGGUAAAAUGGAAUGAGCAUAUUCUCCUACCUUGAAUCAUAUAGUAAGGAAGAAUUUCCUGGAACAGAUAUUUAGCAAUGAACUGGAUUUCCCAUGCAGAAGUACCUAUUCUAUUAUGGAAAUUAUUGAGCAGUA